Molecule: transfer RNA, 119 nt
Filed under: Pseudomonas sp. MD195_PC81_125
Lineage: Bacteria; Pseudomonadati; Pseudomonadota; Gammaproteobacteria; Pseudomonadales; Pseudomonadaceae
Also listed under: 1 other name
Description: tRNA-Ser
Source: RNAcentral
CUGGAUGUUUUGCAACCAGUUUAAUAAGGUAUAUCCUUUUAAAAUCAAUAUGUUAUGGUUCUUCAGGCCCCAGCAUGGGGUGCUAGGGGUCGAGUGUUCGAAUCACUCCGUCCCGACCA